AAUUGUUCCAAGGAUCAAAUAUUAUGAUGAAUAUACAAGUACUUAAAAUACGUAAAUCCAUAAAAAUGAAGGAUACAUUUACAUUAGUCUUCUCUUAUCUACAGGAGAUGGUUUUCGAGACCCCCAGUGGAUGCCUAAAACCGACACCCUUCUUCUUGUGAGAUGAUCAAACGCCUGUACAAUGAGUUGAAGUGAAGUAAAUUAUGUAGGCAUUGUGAUGUAGCAUUAGGCUCCUGUUGACCUUCUGAUGAUAUAUCAGAAGGAAGAUCAUCUGCUUCUGGAUGACGUUUGACCUUGACAUUGGCACACAUGGUUAUGGAUGUUGACAAGUCCAACAUCUUCAGAGGAGAACAGCAAGCUAGAGACCCAGGAAAGAGCCCCAAGAGACUCAGGAGAGAGGAGGGAGCCUGGAGAUGAAGUUCAAUCACCAAUGGCCAA
Molecule: long non-coding RNA, 438 nt
Organism: Ailuropoda melanoleuca (giant panda)
Lineage: Eukaryota; Metazoa; Chordata; Mammalia; Carnivora; Ursidae
Exons: 3
Source: RefSeq, a predicted model, not a curated record